GCCGGGAUGUUCACAACCCUUUGUUGUCCGACUCUGUUGCCUCCGGGGCGACCCUGCCUCCGGGCGGGGGCCCCGGGUGGACAUUUCAAACUCUUGCGUAACUUUGCAGUCUGAGUAAAUUUAAUUAAUAAAUUAAAACUUUCAACAACGGAUCUCUUGGUUCUGGCAUCGAUGAAGAACGCAGCGAAAUGCGAUAAGUAAUGUGAAUUGCAGAAUUCAGUGAAUCAUCGAAUCUUUGAACGCACAUUGCGCCCCCUGGUAUUCCGGGGGGCAUGCCUGUUCGAGCGUCAUUUCACCACUCAAGCCUCGCUUGGUAUUGGGCGACGCGGUCCGCCGCGCGCCUCAAAUCGACCGGCUGGGUCUUUCGUCCCCUCAGCGUUGUGGAAACUAUUCGCUAAAGGGUGCCGCGGGAGGCCACGCCGUAAAACAACCCCAUUUCUAAGGUUGACCUCGGAUCA
This 458-nucleotide ribosomal RNA is filed under the name Cladosporium sp. DY115-21-9-M4. RNAcentral's name for it is "eukaryotic LSU rRNA". The stretch from base 137 to 290 matches the Rfam family "5.8S ribosomal RNA". Lineage: Eukaryota; Fungi; Ascomycota; Dothideomycetes; Cladosporiales; Cladosporiaceae. The record is from RNAcentral.